GACGCUGGCGGCGGGCCUAACACAUGCAAGUCGAACGCACUCGACCUUCGGGUCACAUGAGUGAGUGGCGAACGGGUGAGUAACACGUGAGGAACCUGCCCCGAAGACUGGAAUAACCCGAGGAAACUCGGGCUAAUACCGGAUAUCCCCACCAGGUCGCAUGGCCAGGUGAGGAAAUGCUCCGGCGCUUCGGGAGGGUCUCGCGGCCUAUCAGCUAGUUGGUGAGGUAACGGCUCACCAAGGCAUCGACGGGUAGCUGGUCUGAGAGGACGAUCAGCCACACUGGGACUGAGACACGGCCCAGACUCCUACGGGAGGCAGCAGUGGGGAAUCUUGCGCAAUGGGCGAAAGCCUGACGCAGCCACGCCGCGUGAGGGAUGAAGGCUUUCGGGUUGUAAACCUCUUUCAGCAGGGACGAAAAUGACGGUACCUGCAGAAGAAGCCCCGGCCAACUACGUGCCAGCAGCCGCGGUAACACGUAGGGGGCGAGCGUUGUCCGGAUUUAUUGGGCGUAAAGAGCUCGUAGGCGGUUCAGUAAGUCGGGUGUGAAAACUUGAGGCUCAACCUCAAGAGGCCACUCGAUACUGCUGUGACUUGAGUCCGGUAGAGGAGUGUGGAAUUCCUGGUGUAGCGGUGAAAUGCGCAGAUAUCAGGAGGAACACCGACAGCGAAGGCAGCACUCUGGGCCGGUACUGACGCUGAGGAGCGAAAGCGUGGGGAGCGAACAGGAUUAGAUACCCUGGUAGUCCACGCCGUAAACGUUGGGCACUAGGUGUGGGAUCUAACUAACAGAUUCCGUGCCGUAGCUAACGCAUUAAGUGCCCCGCCUGGGGAGUACGGCCGCAA
This 846-nucleotide ribosomal RNA is filed under the name uncultured Acidimicrobiales bacterium. RNAcentral's name for it is "bacterial SSU rRNA". It matches the Rfam family "Bacterial small subunit ribosomal RNA", at positions 32 to 891 of the family's 1533-position model. Lineage: Bacteria; Bacillati; Actinomycetota; Acidimicrobiia; Acidimicrobiales. The record is from RNAcentral.